AAGAAGACAAAUCCUGGGUUUCCGUGUCCAACAUUUGACUGUUCGUCUUAUAUGAACUUUUUUUUAAAUUAGUAUUUUCAUUGUUGUUAGAUGAUAAAACAUGAUUAAUACUUUAUGCGUGACUUGUCUUUUUAAUUUUUUUCAUAAUUUUUUUAAACGGACGGUCAAAAGUUGGACACGGAAACCCAUGGUUUGUCUUUUU
Molecule: microRNA precursor, 202 nt
Organism: Oryza rufipogon (brownbeard rice)
Lineage: Eukaryota; Viridiplantae; Streptophyta; Magnoliopsida; Poales; Poaceae
Rfam family: MIR812 microRNA precursor family
Source: Rfam